UACGGAGGAUCCAAGCGUUAUCCGGAUUUAUUGGGUUUAAAGGGUGCGUAGGCGGGUUUGUAAGUCAGUGGUGAAAGACUGUCGCUUAACGAUAGCAUUGCCAUUGAUACUGCAAGUCUUGAGUACACUUGAGGUAGGCGGAAUGUGUAGUGUAGCGGUGAAAUGCUUAGAUAUUACACAGAACACCAAUUGCGAAGGCAGCUUACUAAAUUGUUACUGACGCUGAGGCACGAAAGCGUGGGGAUCAAACAGG
Molecule: ribosomal RNA, 253 nt
Filed under: uncultured bacterium
Lineage: Bacteria
Description: partial 16S ribosomal RNA
Rfam family: Bacterial small subunit ribosomal RNA
Source: RNAcentral